GAUGAACGCUGGCGGCGCGCCUAACACAUGCAAGUCGAACGGCACCCCUCCUCGGAGGGCAGCGAGUGGCGAACGGCUGAGUAACACGUGGAGAACCUGCCCCCUCCCCCGGGAUAGCCGCCCGAAAGGACGGGUAAUACCGGAUACCCCGGGGUGCCGCAUGGCACCCCGGCUAAAGCCCCGACGGGAGGGGAUGGCUCCGCGGCCCAUCAGGUAGACGGCGGGGUGACGGCCCACCGUGCCGACAACGGGUAGCCGGGUUGAGAGACCGACCGGCCAGAUUGGGACUGAGACACGGCCCAGACUCCUACGGGAGGCAGCAGUGGGGAAUCUUGCGCAAUGGGGGGAACCCUGACGCAGCGACGCCGCGUGCGGGACGGAGGCCUUCGGGUCGUAAACCGCUUUCAGCAGGGAAGAGUCAAGACUGUACCUGCAGAAGAAGCCCCGGCUAACUACGU
RNAcentral lists this ribosomal RNA (458 nucleotides) under uncultured bacterium. Its description in RNAcentral is "partial 16S ribosomal RNA". It matches the Rfam family "Bacterial small subunit ribosomal RNA", at positions 28 to 506 of the family's 1533-position model. The record is from RNAcentral.